Molecule: ribosomal RNA, 468 nt
Filed under: uncultured bacterium
Lineage: Bacteria
Description: partial 16S ribosomal RNA
Rfam family: Bacterial small subunit ribosomal RNA
Source: RNAcentral
GACGAACGCUGGCGGCGUGCUUAACACAUGCCAGUCGAACGGAAAGGCCCUGCUUUUGUGGGGUGCUCGAGUGGCGAACGGGUGAGUAACACGUGAGUAACCUGCCCUUGACUUUGGGAUAACUUCAGGAAACUGGGGCUAAUACCGGAUAGGAGCUCCUGCUGCAUGGUGGGGGUUGGAAAGUUUCGGCGGUUGGGGAUGGACUCGCGGCUUAUCAGCUUGUUGGUGGGGUAGUGGCUUACCCAGGCUUUGACGGGUAGCCGGCCUGCGAGGGUGACCGGCCACAUUGGGACUGAGAUACGGCCCAGACUCCUACGGGAGGCAGCAGUGGGGAAUAUUGCACAAUGGGCGGAAGCCUGAUGCAGCAACGCCGCGUGCGGGAUGACGGCCUUCGGGUUGUAAACCGCUUUCGCCUGUGACGAAGCGUGAGUGACGGUAAUGGGUAAAGAAGCACCGGCUAACUACGUG